Long non-coding RNA from Chenopodium quinoa (quinoa), 2002 nucleotides. RefSeq lists it as uncharacterized. The transcript has 9 exons. NCBI's taxonomy places the organism in Eukaryota, Viridiplantae, Streptophyta, Magnoliopsida, Caryophyllales, Amaranthaceae. The record is from RefSeq and is a predicted model, not a curated record.
AUGAAUAGUAAAUAUGGCGCUAUUACUUUGUUGCCCCUAAUUUUAAUGGUUUGCCAUAUAUACCCUUUGCAUGUGAAAAUCUGUCCAGGCUUUUCUUCUCCUUUUCGUCCUUUCUUUUUCCUCGCUCUCCAUUGAAGGCUUGCUGCGUGCUCUGAGCUUAAUCUCAUCCAUUAAAGCAGCUUCUUCAGUUUACAUCGUUAAAAUGGAGCAGGCGAGCAGCAGCAGUGAAACCUCAGGCGGUCGUAAUGCGGAAGGAAUUUGAUGUUUCUUCACUUCCGAGCUCUCUCUGAUCCUCCAUUGAAGCAACUUCUGAGCUUUCCUCUCCAUUGAACAGUGGAAUUAAUGGUUUGCUUAAUGAAUUUUGUGGGUAUUUGAAAAUUUUGAGGAGGAAUUUGAGUUAGCUUUAUUCAAAAACAAGAAGAAAGAGAAUCAUUAAAUGGUAGUUUCCAGUGCCAGAACUUUCUUCUUUAGAAUUCCUUGACCUUCAACAUUUACAAAUUUGUAUGCGUUUCUUUAUAUACCAGAGCGGUUUCAGGUUUUCGAUUGAAUUUGAUUUCAAAUGGAUCUUACUUAGCAACUUGCUCGUAAGUGGUUCACCAUGAAACGCCAGCAUGCCCUAAUUGUCAUGGCUAACAGCCUAUACUACAGAAAAUUCAAGCUAUAUUGCAGGGUUCCACCUACAACUGAUCAGAAAUCACUUGAAAGGAAUAUUGCCGAGGAUUGGGCUCCUUCUUCUUGCAACAUGACAUUUGAGGUUGUUAACUCCAGGGAAUGGUCGUUGAUUUCACGAUACAGGGCAUCUAAGGACUCAGUCUCCUAAGGUCAAAAUGAUUGACAAUUUUGUGUCUAAGAUGAAGGUAUCAUGAGAUACGUUUGCGGAAGAUGUUACUUGUGUAAAUGUUGUCUUAAGCCUAAGCAGUUCUAAAAUGGGUCAUUAUAGGCCCUGCUUGAUUUCUAUGUCAGUUAUGGGAAAAGAAAGCCUGGAACGUAUUAUCAUAUUUAGGUACGUGUUUUUGCCUAAGGUUUGCCCAUGACUAUCAUCCUUCGAUAAUUUUCAACUUUCAUAACCAAACAUAAUUUUCAAGAAAUUUGGGGUUUAUAUUUUGAAAGGUAUGAUCUAUGAAUUUGUGUCCAUAACUUUGAAAUGCUGAUGUUUUGACCAAAUGGUUUUGCUUUUAAGCUCAUUAUAAAUCUUGGGUUUAUUUCCUAUUUGUAAUUUAUUUUUUGUUCAAAUUUUUUAGUAAUGGAUAAAUGUUAUAAAUGUUGUAUCUCAUAGAUUUGUGCAUUCACAAAUGUGAGAUUUAAGCUAUAAUUUUCUGUCGUUGGUGAGCAUACUUUCGCUAUCGUGAGUAUCUUUUGGGAUUGAAGAACAUGAAUUUCAAUGAAAAAGUAUGUUAUCAAACUAUUUUUGUGAUUUUAAAAGUGGGUUGUUUUUUUAACCCAAGAAAAUGAUUAGUUUAAAGAUUAAUGCUUAUUCAUACUCAGUUAAUAAGAAUUAGGGAUUAUUUAAUUUGGAGAGAUUUCUAUUUAUCUCGAGGCCACUUGUGUUGUCAAUUUUUUUUUAUUUCCUUUGUUUGAGAGUGUCUAUUAUUCCUUGAAUUAGAUAAUUUAUUUUUAUUUUUUCUCAAUUUUCAAAUUUUAUUUUAUAUUAUAUAGUAAUCUCAAUAAGAACUUGUAUUAUAUACGAAAUACUUAUCCUUAAAUUAGGAGUAUUAUAGGCAUACAUAGUAGUAUUAUUAAAAAAAAAAAAAAAAAAAAAAAAAAAAAAAAAAAAAAGUAUUGUUUUGAUUCCACUAUUGUUUUGCCUUCCAUUGCUUUGAGAUGAGACUCCAGAAGAUGAUUAUAGGCAUACAUAGGAAUCCAGACCAUUCGCAAAGUACUUUCAAUGCACUUAUAUAUUCUUAUUUUCACAUUUUCCCUUUUACAUACAUAUUUUCCAUGCAAUUAUCCUUAUUUAUCAAAAUAUUUAUCUUUUUCCAACACAACUAUUCCUAUUUUAUCU